CAGCAGCCGCGGUAAUACGAAGGGUGCAAGCGUUACUCGGAAUUACUGGGCGUAAAGCGUGCGUAGGUGGUGGUUUAAGUCCGUUGUGAAAGCCCUGGGCUCAACCUGGGAAUUGCAGUGGAUACUGGGUCACUAGAGUGUGGUAGGGGAUAGUGGAAUUUCCGGUGUAGCAGUGAAAUGCGUAGAGAUCGGAAGGAACAUCUGUGGCGAAGGCGACUAUCUGGGCCAACACUGACACUGAGGCACGAAAGCGUGGGGAGCAAACAGGAUUAGAUACCCGCGUAGUCCCUGUCUCUUAUAC
Molecule: ribosomal RNA, 301 nt
Filed under: uncultured bacterium
Lineage: Bacteria
Description: partial 16S ribosomal RNA
Rfam family: Bacterial small subunit ribosomal RNA
Source: RNAcentral